This 466-nucleotide ribosomal RNA is filed under the name uncultured bacterium. RNAcentral describes it as "partial 16S ribosomal RNA". It matches the Rfam family "Bacterial small subunit ribosomal RNA", at positions 28 to 507 of the family's 1533-position model. The record is from RNAcentral.
GAUGAACGCUGGCGGCGUGCUUAACACAUGCAAGUCGAACGGAAAGGCUCCUGCUUGCAGGGGUACUCGAGUGGCGAACGGGUGAGUAACACGUGGGUGAUCUGCCCAGCACUUCGGGAUAAGCCUGGGAAACUGGGUCUAAUACCGGAUAGGACGAUGGUUUGGAUGCCAUUGUGGAAAGUUUUUUCGGUGUGGGAUGAGCUCGCGGCCUAUCAGCUUGUUGGUGGGGUAAUGGCCUACCAAGGCGUCGACGGGUAGCCGGCCUGAGAGGGUGUACGGCCACAUUGGGACUGAGAUACGGCCCAGGCUCCUACGGGAGGCAGCAGUGGGGAAUAUUGCACAAUGGGCGCAAGCCUGAUGCAGCGACGCCGCGUGGGGGAUGACGGCCUUCGGGUUGUAAACUCCUUUCGCUAGGGACGAAGCGCAAGUGACGGUACCUGGAGAAGAAGCACCGGCUAACUACGUG